This 1998-nucleotide small RNA is filed under the name Arabidopsis thaliana (thale cress). Its description in RNAcentral is "ATSL265610". The stretch from base 1422 to 1621 matches the Rfam family "MIR854 microRNA precursor family". The record is from RNAcentral. Lineage: Eukaryota; Viridiplantae; Streptophyta; Magnoliopsida; Brassicales; Brassicaceae.
AAGAAAAAAAAUCAAAACCGACGGUUUACUCGAUCACAUCACUCGACCGGUUUGUGUUUUUGGUUUGUUGGGACUAACGUAUUAAUGUUUAUCCUUGAGUUUCAUUUGUUUUCAGGUUUCAUCAUGAGUAACUACAGUGGAGAAUCCUCAAUGGAUCCUGAUUAUAACGUAGAUGAAGCAGAGUCUUGGUCCACUAGACAAGAGAGAGAAGAACACGUUUACGAGAGUUUCAGAGAAGAAUUUGAACGCUCCGCAGCACGACGUAAUCAGAGAAGAGCUGAAAUCGCCAGAGGAAAGAGAGCGAUGUCGAGUAGAUAUGAGCUGAUCGAUGAGGACAUCGAAACUGAGUAUGAGCCAAAGUCAUGGUGCAAGGAGACGAAGCUGCUGAACAAACCCGACGAGGUUACAGUGGAGGAGUAUAUCAGAUUCUUUGAGAUGAAUGACUUCUGGAGAACGAGGUAUCCCUGCUAUGAGACUUUAGCCGAGCUGGGUUACUGGAGGACGUGCAACAUUUGUUCGAGAAGUGUCAUCUGGAAACAUUCAUGUCUUAACCUUACGUAUAAGGAGGAGACAAUCGAGUUUCUUUCCACACUGCAAGUAGAGAUGUAUGAGGGUCUCACGGACUUUGAGCUGGAUACCAUGGGGUUAGGGUUCUUGACGUUCUCAGUGGAUGAAUAGCGGUAUCAGCUUUCGAUCAAGAAGUUGGAAGAACUGUUUGGUUUCCCUAGUGGAAAGGGAACCAAACCUAGGUUUGACAGGGAAGAGCUUAAGGAUUUGUGGGCUACUAUUGGGAACAAUUUACCGCUAAACUCGACACGGUCCAAGAGCAACCAAAUCCGGAGUCCUGUGAUCCGCUACUUUCAGCGCUCGGUUGCCAACUUUUUUUACUCCAGGGAGUCUACAGGCACCGUGUCUAACACGGACAUGGAGAUGAUAGAUUUCGCGCUUCCAGGGAUUCUCCGCCGUAAAAAGGGAAAGAAUGUCUUGAGAGGCGAUCUCAACAACGCACCACCAGUAAUGCCUCUAUUGAUCCACCUGUGUGGAUAAAGGAAGUGGGCGUUGACAAACGGCAAGAAGAAGGUGAGAGGAGCACUAUGCGUGGGUGGCGUUGUGACGCCAAUUCUGGAAGCUUGUGGAGUACCGCUCAAGGAGCCAGGGUUAGCACCGAGAAUGAUGGACUUGGAUCACUUGCGCCGAUGUGAGUUUGACAUGGUUGGCAACUUUCACCGCUAUAGGUUCGAGCAUUCAUUGAUUAGAAUCGCCAACAUUCUUCUCCCCUGCAUUAACGCUACUAGGAUUCUCGAGGGAAGGAACAUUGAUUUCAAGCCUUCGCUUGAAAAUCUUUAUUUCGAGGGCAGUCCGCCAACUGAGGAGAUUAGUCACACCGAAGGAGCUACAACAGAAGAUGUUGAUGAGACAGAUGAUAUAGAUGAGGCGGAGUUUGACACAAGCAUGUAUCAUUUCAGUGAGCAUAUACCUCGAGCGAGGGAUAGCAAGAGUUUGAGCGAAGCUCACAGGAACAACAGCAAGCUGCAGAAGUGGUGCAAGAAACAUGAUAAGUUACUCGCCAACUCCCUCAGGACAUGCCCUCGAGGAGAUAUGACGCGCCUAAGCCAAGUCGGCACGAGCCUGAGCCUAGAGAGCAGGAGAUUCCGCAUGUCCCUGUGAGGUAUUCAUUAUUCAAGCCUCGUGAAUCUGGGAGGAAGAGGAGGACCACACUCACUCGAUCUAGCAGCAGAAGUAGACGCCUUAUGCAGUCUCAUAGUUUACGCGACCGCGGUGCUGGCCGCAGCAAAAGAAGAGAGGUCGAGUAUCCUCAAAGCGGUGCUGGUCGCCACAAAGCUGAUGAGGUCGAGUACCCACCCUCUGGAGCUGAUACGGAACAUGGCGGUUCGUCUAUAGCCUGGGAGCAAUCACAUGCAGCCAUUGACGACCAACUUCGCUCAUUCUUCGACUGAGGUAAGCGCCUCACUUCACCAUUGUAUUAUAUCAUAUCUU